GCUCGCUGUUGGGUGGCUUUGAUUUUGGCUGAUUUCGCUGUGGUUUUGGGAGCGUCGCUGGCUGUGGUGGUUAUUUGCAAGGAAUUGGGGUCGUUGGCGGUGGUUGCGGCGUCGUCAGGAGAGAGUUUACGGACUUUGCGAGGCCGGGAAGGAGGUAUUUUGGCCAGAGGAGAUGCGGUUUGCUGAGGGAUGCUGAUUAAUUCAGUGGUGGUAAUGGUGGUGUUGAUAGAAGAAGUGAUGGGGUCAUGGUGGGGCUGUGACUGAGGCUGCGUUUGAACCUGGGCUUGGAUUUGGGACUGGGGUUGAGAUUGGGGUUGGGGCUGAGGAAGGGGUUGUGGCUGUGGUUGUGGUUGCGAUUGGUAUUGCGUUUGCUCGCCCAUGUGCGAUCAGAGAAAUUGAUGGUGGGUUUGAGCAGACCAACAGUGCCAAUGUCGUCGGUGGCUUUGGUGGUGGUGGUGGUGGUGGUGGUGGUA
RNAcentral lists this unclassified non-coding RNA (473 nucleotides) under Hevea brasiliensis (rubber tree). Lineage: Eukaryota; Viridiplantae; Streptophyta; Magnoliopsida; Malpighiales; Euphorbiaceae. The record is from RNAcentral.